CGAGCCGGUAACUUUGUUAGCUAAUUCGUGAAUUAUUUGCGAAUUAUUGAAAAUCUGAAUUAAACGGUCCGUUUACGAAUUUUUUCUAAAGAAAAUAAAUUAUUUGCGAAUUUUUGGGCCAGCUGAAUAAUUUGCGAAUUACUUCCGGAUUAUUAAAAAUCUGAAUAAAAAAUUUAUAAUUUUUAUAUUUAAAUAUAGAUUAUCUUAUAUUUUAUAUUUUAUACCGAAUCCUUUUUUAAGUCAAUUUUUUUAACGAAUUUAAAAAUUAGGAAACAAAUUUUAUAGGUAUUAUAUCCCUACCGAAUUUUUACGGAAUCCGAAUUAACUAUGGCCGGUAAUCUAUUUGAUUCACGUGGUCAAAUAAGAAAGUGACAUAUAAUAGUCCUAGCACCUAGAAAAGUGAGUCCAAACCCAAGUAAGGCUUCGUUUGGGAAUACGGGGAGAUUGCGUUACGUCCAGUGAGAAAGUACGUUGAAAAAAUACUAUGUUUGUUUCCGUACGUAAUAUUGCGUUCCGCAUAUCGCAAUGAGUCGGAUACGAUAUAUUUUUUGCGGUCCCACCGGAGAACGUAGAAGCAUACCCCUAUAUGCUUUUUCCUCAACUCUAUUUUAUCUAAUAGGGUUAGAUAGAUCUCAAUACCAAACUAAGCCUAAGUUUUGGGCGAGAACGGUUGGAAGCAUGGGAGGCAG
Molecule: long non-coding RNA, 689 nt
Filed under: Ananas comosus (pineapple)
Lineage: Eukaryota; Viridiplantae; Streptophyta; Magnoliopsida; Poales; Bromeliaceae
Description: long non-coding RNA (ACOM_LNC017523)
Source: RNAcentral